This 267-nucleotide long non-coding RNA is filed under the name Mytilus galloprovincialis (Mediterranean mussel). Lineage: Eukaryota; Metazoa; Mollusca; Bivalvia; Mytilida; Mytilidae. The record is from RNAcentral.
AUUAAGGUGGUUCCCAACACUUUCACUAAAAUUAAUUUAGCUCGUUUAAUUUUCAUAAAAUUUUGACAAAGUAUUUACUUUGACCCUUUAACAAAAACAUAAAAAUUUCAAAUAUUAUAAACCAACCAUUUUAUCGAGAAAUUACACUGGUUAUAUAGCAGUUUGACAAACACCAAUUUUGAUCAUUGAGAAGCUUAAUAUUUCCUUUACAACACAACAUAAUUAAAACGUUUAGCUGAUUUUACAGAGUUAUCUCCCUGUAGUGUU